UGUUAAUAAUUUAUAUAAAAUAUUUUGAUGAAUAUUUAUAUAAUAUUAACAUAAUUCAUAUUACUAUUUUUUUCUUAGUAUAUGAAAUUUUACUUUGAGAAAAUUAGAGUGCUUAAAGCAGGCAUAUGCCUUGAAUACUCCAGCAUGGAAUAGUAUUAAAGAUUUUUAUCUUUUUUAUUGGUUCUAAGAUAAGAAUAAUGAUUAAUAGGGACAGUUGGGGGCAUUUGUAUUUAACAGUCAGAGGUGAAAUUCUUAGAUUUGUUAAAGACAAACUAAUGCGAAAGCAUUUGCCAAGGAUGUUUUCAUUAAUCAAGAACGAAAGUUAGGGGAUCGAAGACGAUCAGAUACCGUCGUAGUCUUAACCAUAAACUAUGCCAACUAGAGAUUGGAGGUUGUU
Molecule: ribosomal RNA, 397 nt
Filed under: Cryptosporidium environmental sequence
Lineage: Eukaryota; Apicomplexa; Conoidasida; Eucoccidiorida; Cryptosporidiidae
Description: SSU rRNA
Rfam family: Eukaryotic small subunit ribosomal RNA
Source: RNAcentral